This 39-nucleotide non-coding RNA is filed under the name Rhizochromulina marina. Lineage: Eukaryota; Dictyochophyceae; Rhizochromulinales. The record is from RNAcentral.
GAGCAGCAGAGUCUUCUCCAGCGUGCCAGGACCGGAAGG